Molecule: ribosomal RNA, 669 nt
Filed under: uncultured fungus
Lineage: Eukaryota; Fungi
Description: SSU rRNA
Rfam family: Eukaryotic small subunit ribosomal RNA
Source: RNAcentral
GGAAGGGGUGUAUUUAUUAGAUAAGAGAAACCAACGCCCUUCGGGGCUUCUUGGUGAUUCAUGAUAACUUCACGGAUCGCAUGGCCUUGCGCCGGCGACGGUUCAUUCAAAUUUCUGCCCUAUCAACUUUCGAUGGUAAGGUAUUGGCUUACCAUGGUUUCAACGGGUAACGGGGAAUUAGGGUUCGAUUCCGGAGAGGGAGCUUGAGAAACGGCUACCACAUCCAAGGAAGGCAGCAGGCGCGCAAAUUACCCAAUCCCGACACGGGGAGGUAGUGACAAUAAAUACUGAUACAGGGCUCUUUUGGGUCUUGUAAUUGGAAUGAGUACAAUUUAAACCUCUUAACGAGGAACAAUUGGAGGGCAAGUCUGGUGCCAGCAGCCGCGGUAAAUUCCAGCUCCAAUAGCGUAUAUUAAAGUUGUUGCAGUUAAAAAGCUCGUAGUUGAAACUUGGGCCUGGCUGGCAGGUCCGCCUCACCGCGUGUCACUUGUCCGGCCGGGCCAUUUCCUUCUGGAGAACCUCAUGCCCUUCACUGGGUGUGUGGGGAACCAGGACUUUUACUUUGAAAAAAUUAGAGUGUUCAAAGCAAGGCCUUUGCUCGAANUACGUUAGCCUGGAAUAAUAGAAUAGACGUGCGGAUCCUAUAUUAGUUGGGAUACUAANGAACGC